GAGAGAGUUAGCAGCAGGGUAUCAUAUUGACGCACCUACACACACUGUAAUUAGCAGGAGUGUUAUUUAACGUCAUGAUCAGUGAGACACGGUGAGUAACUCGUUCUUCUGUCACACUUUCUCAGUGAGACAAAUACGCUCGGGUAUACGAGUUCCACCGCAGCGCUGUCGGGCGUCCAGUUCUGGAUUCUGAUUGGUCGGGUGAUGUUGAUUCAUUUUCUAUAACAGCAGCUCGUUCACAGGGACGUGCGUACUCAGAAAGGACGAGUUCAUAUCCUACACACUUUUUGAGCCUCUCGGCCUCGUAAAGCAGAGCGGGAGUCGGGGAAAAGUUGCAUCUGAAGUGAAGCACGCCGGUGUCAUGGUGAUGAGACGAUGACCGGGGCGUUUUAAGAUAUUCCUCGGCUUUGGAUACGAGUAUGGCUUUAUCGCAGGUCAGCACCGAGCUGUGGGAGUCCGUGGACGGGUGUCUUUUUCCCGCCAUGGCCAUGGCCGCCG
Ictalurus furcatus (blue catfish) is the source of this 498-nucleotide long non-coding RNA. RefSeq lists it as uncharacterized. The transcript is spliced from 3 exons. NCBI's taxonomy places the organism in Eukaryota, Metazoa, Chordata, Actinopteri, Siluriformes, Ictaluridae. The record is from RefSeq and is a predicted model, not a curated record.